This 253-nucleotide ribosomal RNA is filed under the name uncultured bacterium. Its description in RNAcentral is "partial 16S ribosomal RNA". It matches the Rfam family "Bacterial small subunit ribosomal RNA", at positions 524 to 776 of the family's 1533-position model. The record is from RNAcentral.
UACGUAGGUGACAAGCGUUGUCCGGAUUUACUGGGCGUAAAGAGCGCGCAGGCGGUCGUUUAAGUCGAGUGUGAAAGCCCCCGGCUCAACUGGGGAGGGUCACGCGAUACUGAUCGACUGGAAGGCAGGAGAGGGUAGUGGAAUUCCCGGUGUAGUGGUGAAAUGCGUAGAUAUCGGGAGGAACACCAGUGGCGAAGGCGACUACCUGGCCUGUUCUUGACGCUGAGGCGCGAAAGCUAGGGGAGCAAACGGG